AGAGUUUGAUCCUGGCUCAGGAUGAACGCUAUUGACAGGCUUAACACAUGCAAGUCGAGGGGCAGCGGGGGAGUAGCAAUACUCCCGCCGGCGACCGGCGCACGGGUGAGUAACACGUAUGAAACCUGCCCGUAGCAGGGGGGGAUAAGCGGAAGAAAUUCCGUCUAAUACCGCGUAACAACCCUUGGAGGCAUCUCCUCGGGUUUAAAGGAAGCGAUUCCGGCUACGGAUGGUCAUGCGUCGCAUUAGCUGGUUGGCGGGGUAACGGCCCACCAAGGCGACGAUGCGUAGGGGUUCUGAGAGGAAGGUCCCCCACACUGGUACUGAGACACGGACCAGACUCCUACGGGAGGCAGCAGUGAGGAAUAUUGGUCAAUGGCCGCAGGGCUGAACCAGCCAAGUCGCGUGAGGGAUGACGGUCCUAUGGAUUGUAAACCUCUUUUGUCAGGGAGCAAAGGGCGCCACGUGUGGCGCUUUGCGAGUACCUGAAGAAAAAGCAUCGGCUAACUCCGUGCCAGCAGCCGCGGUAAUACGGAGGAUGCGAGCGUUAUCCGGAUUUAUUGGGUUUAAAGGGUGCGCAGGCGGAAUGUCAAGUCAGCGGUAAAAUUUCGGGGCUCAACCCCGUCGUGCCGUUGAAACUGGCGUUCUUGAGUGAGCGAGAAGUAUGCGGAAUGCGUGGUGUAGCGGUGAAAUGCGUAGAUAUCACGCAGAACUCCGAUUGCGAAGGCAGCAUACCGGCGCUCAACUGACGCUCAUGCACGAAAGCGUGGGUAUCGAACAGGAUUAGAUACCCUGGUAGUCCACGCAGUAAACGAUGAAUACUAACUGUCCGGGCAGAAUGAUGCCUGGGUGGUACAGCGAAAGCGUUAAGUAUUCCACCUGGGGAGUACGCCGGCAACGGUGAAACUCAAAGGAAUUGACGGGGGCCCGCACAAGCGGAGGAACAUGUGGUUUUAAUUCGAUGAUACGCGAGGAACCUUACCCGGGCUCAAACGACGGAUGGAUGUUUCUGAAAGGAGGCAGUCCUACGGGACAUCCGUCGCGGUGCUGCCUGGUUGUCGUCAGCUCGUGCCG
Molecule: ribosomal RNA, 1074 nt
Filed under: uncultured bacterium
Lineage: Bacteria
Description: bacterial SSU rRNA
Rfam family: Bacterial small subunit ribosomal RNA
Source: RNAcentral